RNAcentral lists this ribosomal RNA (540 nucleotides) under Pseudomonas sp. RNAcentral describes it as "bacterial SSU rRNA". It matches the Rfam family "Bacterial small subunit ribosomal RNA", at positions 77 to 613 of the family's 1533-position model. Lineage: Bacteria; Pseudomonadati; Pseudomonadota; Gammaproteobacteria; Pseudomonadales; Pseudomonadaceae. The record is from RNAcentral. RNAcentral also lists the same sequence under 2 other names.
AGCUUGCUCCUGAAUUCAGCGGCGGACGGGUGAGUAAUGCCUAGGAAUCUGCCUGGUAGUGGGGGACAACGUUUCGAAAGGAACGCUAAUACCGCAUACGUCCUACGGGAGAAAGCAGGGGACCUUCGGGCCUUGCGCUAUCAGAUGAGCCUAGGUCGGAUUAGCUAGUUGGUGAGGUAAUGGCUCACCAAGGCGACGAUCCGUAACUGGUCUGAGAGGAUGAUCAGUCACACUGGAACUGAGACACGGUCCAGACUCCUACGGGAGGCAGCAGUGGGGAAUAUUGGACAAUGGGCGAAAGCCUGAUCCAGCCAUGCCGCGUGUGUGAAGAAGGUCUUCGGAUUGUAAAGCACUUUAAGUUGGGAGGAAGGGUUGUAGAUUAAUACUCUGCAAUUUUGACGUUACCGACAGAAUAAGCACCGGCUAACUCUGUGCCAGCAGCCGCGGUAAUACAGAGGGUGCAAGCGUUAAUCGGAAUUACUGGGCGUAAAGCGCGCGUAGGUGGUUCGUUAAGUUGGAUGUGAAAUCCCCGGGCUCAAC